AUACGGAGGGUGCAAGCGUUAAUCGGAAUUACUGGGCGUAAAGCGUGCGUAGGUGGUUUGUUGAGUUAGAUGUGAAAGCCCCGGGCUCAACCUGGGAACUGCAUUUGAAACUGGCAUACUAGAGUAUAGGAGAGGAAAGUGGAAUUUCAGGUGUAGCGGUGAAAUGCGUAGAUAUCUGAAGGAACAUCAAUGGCGAAGGCAGCUUUCUGGACUAAUACUGACACUGAGGUACGAAAGCGUGGGUAGCAAACAGGAUUAGAAACCCUUGUAGUCC
Molecule: ribosomal RNA, 274 nt
Filed under: uncultured bacterium
Lineage: Bacteria
Description: partial 16S ribosomal RNA
Rfam family: Bacterial small subunit ribosomal RNA
Source: RNAcentral